GACGAACGCUGGCGGCGUGCUUAACACAUGCAAGUCGAACGGAAAGGCCCUGCUUUUGUGGGGUGCUCGAGUGGCGAACGGGUGAGUAACACGUGAGUAACCUGCCCUUGACUUUGGGAUAACUUCAGGAAACUGGGGCUAAUACCGGAUAGGAGCUCCUGCUGCAUGGUGGGGGUUGGAAAGUUUCGGCGGUUGGGGAUGGACUCGCGGCUUAUCAGCUUGUUGGUGGGGUAGUGGCUUACCAAGGCUUUGACGGGUAGCCGGCCUGAGAGGGUGACCGGCCACAUUGGGACUGAGAUACGGCCCAGACUCCUACGGGAGGCAGCAGGGGGGAAUAUUGAACAAUGGGCGGAAGCCUGAGGCAGCAACGCCGCGUGCGGGAUGACGGCCUUCGGGUUGUAAACCGCUUUCGCCUGUGACGAAGCGUGAGUGACGGUAAUGGGUAAAGAAGCACCGGCUAACUACGUG
This 468-nucleotide ribosomal RNA is filed under the name uncultured bacterium. Its description in RNAcentral is "partial 16S ribosomal RNA". It matches the Rfam family "Bacterial small subunit ribosomal RNA", at positions 28 to 507 of the family's 1533-position model. The record is from RNAcentral.